CGGGUGAGUAACACGUAAACAACCUGCCUUCAGGAUGGGGACAACAGACGGAAACGACUGCUAAUACCGAAUAAGUUCCAAGGGCCGCAUGGCCCAUGGAAGAAAAGGUGGCCUCUACCUGUAAGCUAUCGCCUGAAGAGGGGUUUGCGUCUGAUUAGCUGGUUGGAGGGGUAACGGCCCACCAAGGCGACGAUCAGUAGCCGACCUGAGAGGGUGACCGGCCACAUUGGGACUGAGACACGGCCCAA
This 248-nucleotide ribosomal RNA is filed under the name uncultured bacterium. RNAcentral describes it as "partial 16S ribosomal RNA". It matches the Rfam family "Bacterial small subunit ribosomal RNA", at positions 103 to 334 of the family's 1533-position model. The record is from RNAcentral.